Molecule: ribosomal RNA, 253 nt
Filed under: uncultured bacterium
Lineage: Bacteria
Description: partial 16S ribosomal RNA
Rfam family: Bacterial small subunit ribosomal RNA
Source: RNAcentral
GACGAACCGUGCGAACGUUGUUCGGAAUCACUGGGCUUAAAGGGCGCGUAGGCGGGCUGCCGCGUCCGGGGUGAAAUCCUCCCGCUCAACGGGAGAACGGCCUCGGAUACGGGCGGCCUCGAGGGGGGUAGGGGCAUCUGGAACUGUGAGUGGAGCGGUGAAAUGCGUUGAUCCAUUGAAGACCACCAGUGGCGAAGGCGGCUUGCCAGAACGCGCUCGACGGUGAGGGAUGAAAGCUGGGGGAGCAAACCGG